This 253-nucleotide ribosomal RNA is filed under the name uncultured bacterium. Its description in RNAcentral is "partial 16S ribosomal RNA". It matches the Rfam family "Bacterial small subunit ribosomal RNA", at positions 524 to 776 of the family's 1533-position model. The record is from RNAcentral.
UACGAAGGGGGCUAGCGUUGCUCGGAAUUACUGGGCGUAAAGGGUGCGUAGGCGGGUCUUUAAGUCCGGGGUGAAAUCCUGGAGCUCAACUCCAGAACUGCCUUUGAUACUGAGGAUCUUGAGUUCGGGAGAGGUGAGUGGAACUGCGAGUGUAGAGGUGAAAUUCGUAGAUAUUCGCAAGAACACCAGUGGCGAAGGCGGCUCACUGGCCCGAUACUGACGCUGAGGCACGAAAGCGUGGGGAGCAAACAGG